AAAAUAGACCACACUUAGUCUUUUGCACUCCUGGGCAAAAUCAAGACGCUAAUCAGGGGACAUAUCAGAGGACAUCAGGAAAGUGACACAACCUCAGCACACAGAAAACAAAGACUCAUAAAGAAAGAAACAGAAUUGCACAGUUCUAGAGAAAUCUGGACAAAGAAAGGAAGUAGACAAUAUCCAACGCAGAAUCAAAGAAAGCAGAUACUCAUGAAGUCAUCCAAGCAAUUCAAGACAUGACAAAAUGAUCAAUAAGCUCAAGAGGUGAGUUAAAAGCAGAAGAACCUCACAGAUGCACUAUCCGUGUUUCUCUCAAGUGUUUAGGUAAGCA
RNAcentral lists this long non-coding RNA (334 nucleotides) under Vigna radiata. RNAcentral's name for it is "long non-coding RNA (VRAD_LNC014634)". The record is from RNAcentral. Lineage: Eukaryota; Viridiplantae; Streptophyta; Magnoliopsida; Fabales; Fabaceae.